RNAcentral lists this long non-coding RNA (306 nucleotides) under Ananas comosus (pineapple). RNAcentral's name for it is "long non-coding RNA (ACOM_LNC010983)". Lineage: Eukaryota; Viridiplantae; Streptophyta; Magnoliopsida; Poales; Bromeliaceae. The record is from RNAcentral.
UGUGGGGUUUCUAAUUGAGAACACUAUUCGACCUCUCUUUUACUGCAACCUGUUGUGCUCUUUGGAAAGAGCGAAAUUCGAGGAUCUUUCGUAAUCGACGAGUUACGCACGAAGAAAUGGGAAAAUCCAUCAUGGCUGAAGUAGAGUUCUGGAGAUCCACCUUGGGGGGGAUGAUUGAGUUUGGAUUGUGGGUUCAACUUAUGUAAUUUAUUUUUCUGUAGGUGCUGUUUUUACUCCUUGUUUCAGUACUAUACUCCACAAAUAAGGUAAAUCCCUGUUUAAUCAAAAAAAAAAAAAACUCAAAAA